CUGCUCCCAGGCCUGUGCUCUGCUCAGGGAGCUGGGCCCAUGGCUGCAGAGCUGCCCCACGGCUCUGUUGCAGCUCUGGCUGCACAGGAGGAGCUUCACCCCUUGGACCCCCCUGCCCUGAGGGCAGAGGCUUGGCUGGGUGGGAGAGGAGGGGAGGGGGCUUGUUCAGAGGGACGGGUUUACACUAGAGGGGAUCAUAUGGAGAUCUCUAAACAUUCGAUGACACAUGGUUUUUGUUUUGUCUCAGGCCCUAAUCUUAUGCCUACUUCCUGGAGAUUUUCCUCCUGGAGGUGUUUCCCCGUGCCAUGACUUCCCUGUCAGCACUCCAUCUGAAUGUCUCUGGACUCACUUUGGCCUGAGAGAAACCUGCCUGUUUGCAGGGCACUGACUGGGCAACUGUUCUUUUUGCAGGUGCAAAAGGGCAGAUAAAGAAAAAACAGAUGGGUCCAGCAGAAGUGAUGCUGCUUCUGCCAAAGGCAGAGCAGAGGCCGAAAGCACUUUAGGAAGUUGCUUGCAGAAGCACUGUGCAUUCCAAGUUACAGCUCAGGAGUCUCAGUGACGUGUCCAACAUGAGAGCUCCUUUUCCAUUUCUCAACCCCCAGAUUCCUCAGGAGUAGGAAACUGAAAACACUGACUCAGAAAAGCUCCUUUCCUUCCUAAUAAUUGUGCUUUGUCCUUCCCCUUUGACAGUGCUCUUGGAAAUGUGCUGGUGUGAUCUGGAUCUGUAAGCAGCCCUGACCUCACACAGCACUCAUCCAACAGCAGGAAGACCCUGCCUGGCCCCUGCUGGGGUUCUUGCGACCCACCGACAGCUUCUCCCUGCAGAGGUGUGGGCAACUACCCAGGCAGGAUUAGACCUGACCCUGGCAGGCAGCAAAGUCCCUGCCCUGGCACGAAGAACCCUGGGGCACAGGGACUCUGCUCUGCAGGACAGCCCUGGGCACCCCUGGCUGCACCCCCACCUUCCCACCCCGCAGCCAUCUCUGGGAGAAGGAGCCCACCUGCACUGUCCCUCUGACGGUGCUGCAGGGAAGGCCUGCCCUGGAGAACAUCCUCCUCCUGUGCCACAGAGAAACUGGGAGAGUCCGGACAGAUGCGCAAGGCUGUGGGAUGUGGUAGCUUUAGGAGAUUCCUCCAGGAACACAAGCGACAUUGCCCUGCACCUGUAGAUUCACUCUGCAGAGGAGUGUGAAGUUGUGUCCCCAAGGGAAGUCUCAGCUAAACACCUCCCAUCUUUCCGCUGCCUUUAACCUCCCUCUGCCUUGCUUCUCUUCUCUCAUGGCUACAGGCAGUGCCCUCGGCCCUGCUGGGCUGUGCAGAGGAGCUGCUCCUGGGCAGAGCUGUCUCUCUGCAGUGCCGCCCACUUGCCAGGAGCUCCCUGUGUGCCAGGAGCCUGGCCCAGCUGAGCAGCACAGCAAGAGCCAAAGGCAGCCCUUUCUCUGCCCCUCUGGGUUCCCUGCAGGUGUGCCUGGGGCUUCAGGGGAACCUGCUGUGGAGCAGGCUGAAGGAAACAAUGAUGUUCCCUCUUCUCACCUCUUCAGUGACACUUCUUUCCAGCAGUGACAUUUCUCCUCUUAGAAAAUUAACAGGUGACACGUGGGGCAUCAUGGAACCAAACGAACCCUGAGACAUUUCAGAAUCCCACGUGUGUUGGGUCUUUCUGAGCUGGAGUUCAUUUUCUCACUGCAGCCGUCACAGUGCUGUGCUUGGUAUUGGGAGCUACAAAGAGGUUAAUCACACUAUGAUUUUGGGGUCAAAUAGCAUCUUGGAUUUUAUUCGUGGAGCAAGACUGCCAUCUAGUGUCCGUUUCUUCUGGGGGGGGCAGUCAUUUCCGCAGAGUGGCCUCGUAUCUUUGGCAACUGCUGAGCAGGGCUGGCACAGCAUCCGCACUGUCAGCUUCCUCCCUUGAAUCGGGGGUAAGAUCAUGGAAGGGGAUACAGACAGACCAGUUGAGCCAAAUUGACCAAAGGGAUAUUCCAGAAUAUAUGGCAGCAGAUCAGCUACAAAAGCUCAGGAAAGGAACAGGAAAGGGGGGAAAUCCAUUUUUUCACAAUACUUGCCUUCUGAGUGGCCUCGCUGUGUGGUGAAGCCCUGCUUCCCGUGAAGUGGCCAGGCAUUGCUGCUGACGGGAAGAAGAGAAUAAAUCUUUUUAUUUUUCUCUUCA
Molecule: long non-coding RNA, 2164 nt
Organism: Pseudopipra pipra
Lineage: Eukaryota; Metazoa; Chordata; Aves; Passeriformes; Pipridae
Exons: 2
Source: RefSeq, a predicted model, not a curated record